Myotis brandtii (Brandt's bat) is the source of this 1412-nucleotide long non-coding RNA. RefSeq lists it as uncharacterized. The record is from RefSeq and is a predicted model, not a curated record. The transcript has 2 exons. NCBI's taxonomy places the organism in Eukaryota, Metazoa, Chordata, Mammalia, Chiroptera, Vespertilionidae.
AGCUUGUGAGUGUAGUGGAGGUAUGGUCAAUUUGCAUGUUUCUCUUUUAUUAGAUAAGAUUACUAAUCUUAGGCACGCAUGCAAAGUGUAUAAAGCAUGAGAACAGUUUAGAGAAUUAUUAUAAAGUGGGGCACCCUGUGGCUACUACCAACAUAGAACAUUGUAGGUUCCUUAGAUACCUUUCCCUCUACGUACCCCCCACCCCCCCAUUCUUACCCCUGAGGCCUCCCAUCCUUGAAACAGACCACUUUCAACAUAAAAGCAUUUGAAUUUUGGUCAACAUGACUGUCUCACAUGGGUGGGGAGUGAUUAGUGGUCAGCAGUGGUGACUGGCUGGGUUUAACCCCCACCCACUCCCCACCCUGAGCACCACUGUCUUCUGAUCUUAGACCUCCAAGCUGGCUGCAGAUCAGUGUUCUUCCUACUGCACUGUCCCCUAGUGGCACUGAUGACAUAGUAAGGCUACACUGGUUGAGGGGGUAACAUUUCAAGAACUAGAGCUGCUUCACAAGUGAGAAUAUCAUAAUAGAAAAUGAUGGCUCCACACAGUUCCUUUUCCACUGAACUAUCCUUAGGAAUCUAAUUUGGGAUUUCAGCCUUGGUUAUUAUCCGAGGUGCAGGGGGAUGUUUUGAAACGUUUAUUCCUUAAAGGGAAUUAGCUUCCUGCCCAAGGCUUCUCUUCCGAAUGUGUCACUGGUUACAAAAUCAGUUCUCAAGAAUUACAUGCUGCAUUUGGGACUCUGUCAGAUGAUCCCAAUUAGGGGUUCUGUGUUUUUGAAAGAGGAGGGAAAUUCUCUGUAGGAUCAACAAAGUGCUGAACGUGUGCCAGGCAUUAUUCUAAAAAGCUUAAUGCGUAUUAACUCAUUCCCAUUUUGCAGGUGAGGAAACAGGUGCAUCGAGGUCCAGCAGCUUGCCUGUGGCCCCGAGAGAGAGGCAGCCGAGCUGCUCGGCCUCUCCAUCCUCUUCCUGUGAGCACAGUCCAGUUGUUGCAUUGCGCUGCUUGUUCGAAGCCUUCUUGGUUGCCGCUCAUGGGCAGUGUAUCUGACCGCACUUUCGGGGACUCUGAGAGGUGCUGUUGUAGGGGAGAACCCGGCAGGGCAGGUAACAGAGCCCAGUGUUCUUACUGCAACCAGCCAGACAGCUGCCUGGACCCACCAGGAGAACGCUUCAGAGUCGAGUUCCGGAGGCUCCCCCAAACACUUGCAAGGCUGGAGUUUUACUCCCCAUCAAGGAUGCUCCUCUUCAAAGGAGCAUGGAAAACUAGGUACCAAAAGUGUACCCUUGUCUCGUGUGAAUCACUGCUUGCUUAAUUAACACGUUGUGGAGCAGUAGUUUUAUUGUUAGCUUUACCCACUGGCCAGAUAAGGUCCUAUUGAACGAGUACAGAAAACGUUUACAUAAAUGUUAAAGGC